AACAUCGCGCACCUGCGGGAACCUGCGGAAGGAUCAUUACAAGUGACCCCGGUCUAACCACCGGGAUGUUCAUAACCCUUUGUUGUCCGACUCUGUUGCCUCCGGGGCGACCCUGCCUUCGGGCGGGGGCUCCGGGUGGACACUUCAAACUCUUGCGUAACUUUGCAGUCUGAGUAAACUUAAUUAAUAAAUUAAAACUUUUAACAACGGAUCU
RNAcentral lists this unclassified non-coding RNA (214 nucleotides) under soil metagenome. RNAcentral's name for it is "partial contains 5.8S ribosomal RNA, internal transcribed spacer 2, and large subunit ribosomal RNA". The record is from RNAcentral.